CUGCGUGUACGGUCGAGUAACGGUGGUCGUGGGUUGCCUCACCGGCAAAGAACAAUCGAGCAGAACCGUUUGAAUCGAUGACCGGUUCGGCCAGAUCCGAUGGACAAACAUCAAAUUCUACACUUUUUUUGGAUCGAAAACUGCGAAAUCUGUACCGACAGCUGUCCGCAGCAUUGUGGAACAUUUAAUUAGUACUUCAUCCUCUGAACGAAUUUCAAAUUGUCGUGCAGCAGAACCUGUUACCCAACCAAUUAGUAAGUUGGGCUGGCCACGAACUGUGGAGAAUCCAAGAACUCUGUCUUCCCAUUCACCAGUCGCUUUUGAAGGGUCGGUGAUGAAAUUGACUCCACCCCACUCCGAAGUCCACCAAGGCAAUAAAGGGGUAAACAAUUUGUCAGCCCUAUCUUUCAAAACCCCCAACGAACAAGUAACGAGGACCAUAUCAGCAUAAUACGUUUUAUCACUGCAAACCACUUGCACUCCACUACUUGAAGCGGAAUUCCAACGAAUGAGAUUAACUGGAGAAUUCAAUUGGAUUCGAUCCGAUAAGGAAAGCUUCAAUCCGUUACUCGUCUUUGGAACAUUUUUCUGGAAAAAACAGCAACAACGUUAUCUGAUAUCGAUACGUACAGUUUUAGGAUUCUAUCAGCCUCACGCCAACCAGUCUCAACCGCUGCGUGUACGUUUGAGUAACAAUGAUCGUGAGUUGCUUCACCGGAGAAGAGCAAUCGAACGGAACCAUUCGCAUCGACGACCGGUUCGGCCAAAUCAGAUGCCCAAACAUCCAAGUCUCUGCUUUUGUUCGAUCGGUAGCUGUAAGAUCCACAGAAAUGCGGAUUGCUAUACCACGUCGUGCGGAUGAUUCGCUUUGGCUCUUCGUAGGCGAAAUUCGAACCGACCGCAUCCCGGAGCAAGGCAGAACACUUCCGCAAAACCUCAUCCUCUGAACAAGCUUCACACUCUCGGGCAGCUGGUCCACUAAUCCAACCAAUUAGUAAAUUGGGUUGGUCACGAACUGUGGAGAAUCCCAUCACUUUGUCGUCCCAAUCGCCAGUUGCUAUUGAAGGAUCGGUGAGAAAGUUGACCCCACCCCACUCGGAAGUCCACCAAGGUUUAUGAAAAUCGAGAAAAAUUUUGUCGACGGUUCCAAAGCCUAGGCCCUGAAAUGUGUUUUGUUUAAGCAAUAAAGGGGUAAACAGCUUGUCAGCCCUAUCUUUCAGCACUCCCAACGAACAAGUAACGAGGACCAUGUCAGCAUAAUAAAUGUUAUCACUGCAGACGACUUGCACUUGACCAGAAUUCCAACGAAUGAGAUGCACUGGCGAAUUUAAUUGGAUGCGAUCCGAUAAGGCGAGCUUUAACCCGUUGCUUGACUUGGGGAUAUUUUUCUGGAAGGAAAGUCAGACGAUAUGUUAUCAGAAAAAAAAACAGAACAGAGUACCCACGUUUCCACACCGUGGUAUAAUCUCCUUCGCAUUCGUGGUACUCUAGAGAACCCACUCCGGAUGUAUCAUUCCAGUUGUCAGAGCCGUCUUCGAUAUUCUGCGAUCGAUGGGCCCAGUCCAAAAGAUCUAGAGCAGUUGAACGAUUCAUGGGGGUGUGCCAGAUAAUUAUUCAACUUAGGAGAUAAAUGAAGAAAUUCUUUACUUGGAUUCAAAAUAUUCGCCCAAGGAUUUAUCCCACUGGGCUAGCUCUUUCUUGGAGUCGUCGUAUAUGCUUUGCCAUCUCUACGUCAUCUGCAUAGCCAGUCGAUUCGAGAGUGUGAAUGUCCGUCCGUAUCUCUCCAGCAGCGGCCGCCAAUGGAUGAACGACAUUGCCUUCAUGUCCGUGAACCCAUUGGGCUCCCAAUUCAAUCAAGCUCGAUCCUUAAAAAAUUAUUCACACAGAAAUUAAUUUCCCGACGUUAUGCAAUAUUUAGAUUGUAAUUGAAAAAAUAAAGUUACCAUGAGGAACAGUAAGAA
Molecule: long non-coding RNA, 1961 nt
Filed under: Daphnia pulex (common water flea)
Lineage: Eukaryota; Metazoa; Arthropoda; Branchiopoda; Diplostraca; Daphniidae
Description: uncharacterized LOC124194407, transcript variant X3
Source: RNAcentral